AUGAGGCUUUGUAUCUGUGGGGGUUGUUCCAACUCCGACCUCCUGUCCGACCAUCUCCGAUUUCACAGUUUCCCCGAUCGGAGAAAGGAUGGAGCAGGCUUUCGAGCCUGGGUGCAUUUUGUACAGGUGAAGAGAAAGGACAUUUUUUUCGCCUCUGUCACCAAAUACACGUUCAUUUGCGCGGCUCACUUUAGACCAGAGGACUAUGUUUCCGGGGACAUGAUGGAGUUCAAGAUGGGUUUUCGGAGCGAGAAACGAGUGAGGCUGAAAGCCGGUGUGGUUCCCUCAAUUCAUGCUGCUCCAGCCUCAGCUUCGGGCUCAGCCACCGGCGGCAGUGAAGAUCACGGACCGGUCAGAGAUUCAACGAUUCGGAAACGUAAACGGUGCACUUCACGACCGGACGCAGUUACCGGACACCACACCAUUCAAGCCCGUUUCCACGAUGCAGGAUGCCAAACUGACCCCCCACACACCGUCUCCGUGGGUACACAGACGUGGGUUUCUCCACACGGGGUCUCGGAUGGGACACAGCCUUACAGAGAGGCAACGGUGGCUUGUCCCAGAGUGGGCCCUGAAACCAUGUCCGGUUUCCGAGAUCUCACACUGUCUCCCACCCCUAUAGGAGCCCCAGGUUUCAGUCCGAGCAAUAGACUUUGUAUGGAGAUGGAAGUGGAAGUCCCUAUAACAGAGUUCAAAGUGGAGCCCCUUGACUCAUCAUCUAACCCCGGCAACUCUGUUGUGAAAGAGGAGCCAGACAGUUUGUAUGUUCCGUAUUUGUACGACAUGAUUUAUCAGCAUAGAUUAAGAUUACUGUUGGAAAUCAAAUGCAAAAUUGUGUGGUUCUUUCUGUUGUGUUAG
RNAcentral lists this long non-coding RNA (858 nucleotides) under Gadus morhua (Atlantic cod). RNAcentral describes it as "lncRNA (ENSGMOG00000023084.1)". The record is from RNAcentral. Lineage: Eukaryota; Metazoa; Chordata; Actinopteri; Gadiformes; Gadidae.